Molecule: transfer RNA, 81 nt
Filed under: Mycobacteroides chelonae
Lineage: Bacteria; Bacillati; Actinomycetota; Actinomycetes; Mycobacteriales; Mycobacteriaceae
Description: tRNA-Leu
Rfam family: tRNA
About the family: Transfer RNA (tRNA) molecules are approximately 80 nucleotides in length. Their secondary structure includes four short double-helical elements and three loops (D, anti-codon, and T loops).
Source: RNAcentral
GGCCCUGUGGCGAAAUGGCAGCCGCGCCGGAUCCAAAACCCGGUGUCUCGCGACGUGUGGGUUCGACUCCCUCCAGGGCUA